AUCAGUAUAAAAACCUCAUGUAAGCAAUCAGAAAAACUUUAAGCAAAGCACACAAAAUGGUAUGGGAAUGAAAUUCUAACAACGAGAUCAAAGCAAAGAGCAUGGAAAUCAGAGAAGAACCCAGAAGAACACACAAGCAUGCAAAUAUACAAACACCAUCACACAAAGUUAGGGUUUCAUCAAACUUAAACAAAAUGCUAAAAAUAGCACUGAGAAUCAUGAGUCAAUACUCAAAAAUCAGGAAAAUAAAGUAGUUUUGAAAAGGGGUUCAGAAACCCUAGUUUUAAAAGGGAACAAAAACGUUUAAAUCUUGACAAUCGUAAAGAUCGGAUAGAGAGUAGUGUAAAACACAAAAGAGUAAGUUAAAAUCAUUAAAAAGACAAAUAUUUAAGAGGUCUAGGUAGAGGUUAGGGUUUCGUAAGAAACCAGUGAGAGAUGCGAGAAACCUGGUUGCGAAACGCAACGAUAAUGGUGUCCACAGCACCAUCGGAUAAAAACCCAUCGGAGAAAAGGUCGAAGACAAACCAGACCAACCUUCUAUGACCAUCUCUUAUGGCGGAGGCUCCUGGGCCUCAAAGAUAGAGGGAACCAACGAGGUAAAUCUUCACAGCGACUAGUGGUCGAAGAGGCGAGGUUGGAGGUGGCCAGAGAGGCGGUGGGGGUUCAUCGGAGAAGAAAAUAGAACCAGAAGGUUUUCGAGAGAAGAGAGAGGGAGAGUCAAUAUGGAGAAAGAGAGAG
Molecule: long non-coding RNA, 738 nt
Filed under: Nicotiana benthamiana
Lineage: Eukaryota; Viridiplantae; Streptophyta; Magnoliopsida; Solanales; Solanaceae
Description: long non-coding RNA (NBEN_LNC028711)
Source: RNAcentral